GCCAUGCAGAGGGACCUAUUAAAGUCAUAUUGGUAGGCAAAAAGGCUUAAGAAGCAAUCUUCUAUCUCUAAAGGGAGAGUUAGGGGGACGGUGCCAAGGUGGGGUCGGGCACCGCCACAUACAUAACAUGCUGUUUUAUUAUGUUUGUUAGCAUUAUACCUCAUCCAUUCUUACCACAAAUUAAUGUCAUUGAAUCCAGUUUCAGCGGCCAUGGUAUCUUCAAAAGUGGGGUUAGCGAUGGCCAUCAUAUCUUUAAAGGACUGGAUAUGUGGUUUUAGCGGAUUUGGGACCAUAUGAUCAGCCCCUUGCCAUUCUGGAGAGUGGUACAUAUCUCUGAGGUAGAAAUGACCUAAUUUGUUGUAGGAACCUUUCUUCCAAUACAUUCCCAUUACAUAUCGGUCUGCAUCCUCGGGGCCAGGAUGUUCAAUAUUUAACAUUAAUUUCAUAGGGGUACUUCCUCCAGGCUUUCUUAAAGUCAUUCUUUGAAGGAGGGAUCUACCCUGAUUGUCUAUCUUAGAUAAAGCACUUUUGGGUUUAUAACCCCGGGCAGGCCCAGUAUUCCAUCCCGCAGCCCCCCAGUAGUUACAGUCACAACCCCAUUGUUCAUCUACUACACAAACGUAAGGGUCUUUUGCUUGUGGUAUAUCUUUAUAAAUGGCUUGAAUCUGUGACUUAGGGAAUGGGCACUCUACAAUAUCACAGUAAUCAAAAGUGAAUGUAGCCA
This is a non-coding RNA of Pelobates cultripes (western spadefoot toad), 724 nucleotides long. NCBI's taxonomy places the organism in Eukaryota, Metazoa, Chordata, Amphibia, Anura, Pelobatidae. The record is from the annotation of a GenBank genome assembly.